UUGGUUUGGUUUGGUUUUUUUCUUCCCAGCAACUGUCUUCUCAAAGCGCCUGUCUGUCCUGAAAUUAUGUCUCUCUGUGUUUGUCAAAUGGGCAGGCACAGCUGGUGGACUUCUCCCCGUGGGUUAAAUAUUCUGAUUGAGAGAUCCUGAAGCUCUCAGCUCCUGUCUCCGCAUAUUAAGUGACACCUCCUUUAUCAUUUCCAAGCAGCCUGGAAAAGCUCUCCUUUUUGAGGCACAAAUCUGGAACAUCCCUGGGCCUUUCUUGUCUUACACAUCCCUCGAGAUAUCCUGGGAGGUCUCCUUAAGUGGCAAGCAAGGCGCUGCCGGGAAAAGAUGCCAUCGGGAGGAAGAUGUUGACGUGGUGCAGACUGUUCGUCGUGGGAAGGUAAGGCUGCAUGCAUUCAUCUAAGAAAUGAUGCUGGCCAGUGAAAGGUCAAUGAGGGUUUGUUUUUUUUUGGAGUUCCUUUGUUGUUUUGUUCUUAAUUGGGUGAAUUAAAUGCUUAUGAAGAUGAAAGAGUGUUUUAAUAAAUUAUUAGCAUCAGAUAUAUAGGACUAUGAGGAUUAUCAAGGCUUCCUGGCAGAGCCCUGUCAGGGCCACGCCAUCUCUGCUCCCUAUUUUAUCAUCAUCCAUCAUUUUAUCACAAUCCAUCAUGUUUCUGCUGCCGGCCCGGGGCCCCAGCUGACCCCAGCACCCCACUCACUGAGUGCUGUACACGCAGUGUGGGGAGCCCAACCACAGGCAUGAAGCAACAGGUGAAAUGGGCAGACAAAAAUCAGGAGGGAAAAUGAAAAUGAGAUGAAGGGCUCGAGAUCAAACAGCAACGUAAAAAGCCAAAACUAUGUAAAAAGCCAAAACUAUGCGUACACACCCAAAAAAAGCCCAUAAAAAAACCUACCCAACACCCUCUACCCCCAACCCUCCCCCAGAUUUAAACCAACCAACCAAAAACCCACCUGGGGUCAAACCCGGUGUCCUGAGCCCGGGCCCCAAAGUGUCCCCCAGUGUCCUGAGCCCAGGAGCUCCAAAACGGUUUGAAACAGCCACCUGCUGCGUGGUUUCAGUGGGUUCUGUAAACCACAGCUUAUGGCUGAUUUUAAAGUGGAACCCACAGCGUAACGCGGUUGCCAGGGCCACCUGCAGUCUGUCACAGCCCCUUCCCCACCAUCACCCAGAAAGGUCACCCAGCAUCAGGCAGCUUUGAGCUGGUGCCCAGCACGAGUUCAGCAUGGGGAUGGAGAGGAGCUCCCCUAUGCCUUGAGGACCAGCACAUCUCACCAGCUUCCCCUUUCCUCCCCCCAUGGAA
Molecule: long non-coding RNA, 1304 nt
Organism: Falco peregrinus (peregrine falcon)
Lineage: Eukaryota; Metazoa; Chordata; Aves; Falconiformes; Falconidae
Exons: 3
Source: RefSeq, a predicted model, not a curated record